Molecule: non-coding RNA, 119 nt
Organism: Beta vulgaris subsp. vulgaris (sugar beet)
Lineage: Eukaryota; Viridiplantae; Streptophyta; Magnoliopsida; Caryophyllales; Amaranthaceae
Source: Rfam
GGGUGCGAUCAUACCAGCACUAGUGCACCGGAUCCCAUCAAAACUAUGCGGUUAAGCGUGCUUGCGCGAAAGUAGUACUAGGAUGGGUGGGCUCCUGGGAAGUCCUCGUGUUGCAUCCU